This 1392-nucleotide ribosomal RNA is filed under the name uncultured bacterium. RNAcentral describes it as "16S ribosomal RNA". It matches the Rfam family "Bacterial small subunit ribosomal RNA". The record is from RNAcentral.
UUCGCCCUUAGAGUUUCAUUCUGGCUCAGGAUGAACGCUGGCGGCGUGCCUAACACAUUCAAGUCGAACGGAGUUAAUUUAGAAGCUUGCUUCCGGAUUAACUUAGUGGCGGACGGGUGAGUAACGCGUGAGCAACCUGCCUUUGUAUGGGGGAUAACACCGGGAAACUGUGUGCUAAUACCGCAUAACAUAUACUUAUCGCAUGGUAGGUAUAUCAAAGAUUCAUUGUACAAAGAUGGGCUCGCGUCUGAUUAGAUAGUUGGUGGGGUAACGGCUCACCAAGUCGACGAUCAGUAGCCGGACUGAGAGGUUGAACGGCCACAUUGGAACUGAGAUACGGUCCAGACUCCUACGGGAGGCAGCAGUGGGGAAUAUUGGGCAAUGGGCGAAAGCCUGACCCAGCGACGCCGCGUGAAGGAAGAAGGCCUUCGGGUUGUAAACUUCAGUCAACAGGGAAGAAACAAAUGACGGUACCUGUGGAGGAAGCCACGGCUAACUACGUGCCAGCAGCCGCGGUAAUACGUAGGUGGCGAGCGUUAUCCGGAUUUACUGGGUGUAAAGGGUGUGUAGGCGGGAUUGCAAGUCAGAUGUGAAAAUUACGGGCUCAACUCGUAACCUGCAUUUGAAACUGCGAUUCUUGAGUAUCGGAGAGGUAAACGGAAUUCCCAGUGUAGCGGUGAAAUGCGUAGAUAUUGGAAGGAACACCAGUGGCGAAGGCGGUUUACUGGACGACAACUGACGCUGAGACACGAAAGCGUGGGGAGCAAACAGGAUUAGAUACCCUGGUAGUCCACGCCGUAAACGAUGAAUGCUAGGUGGUAGGCAAGAAUGUGUUUGUGCCCGCAGCUAACGCAAUAAGCAUUCCUCCUGGGGGAGUACGGCCGCCAAGUUAGAAACUCAAAGGAAUUGACGGGAGCCCGCACAAGCAGUGGAGUAUGUGGUUUAAUUCGACGCAACGCGAAGAACCUUACCAGAGCUUGACAUCCCUCUGACCGGCCGAGUAAUGUUGGCCUUUCCUUCGGGACAGAGGAGACAGGUGGUGCAUGGUUGUCGUCAGCUCGUGUCGUGAGAUGUUGGGUUAAGUCCCGCAACGAGCGCAACCCUUAUGUUUAGUUGCUACGCAAGAGCACUCUAGACAGACUGCCGUUGACAAAACGGAGGAAGGUGGGGACGACGUCAAAUCAUCAUGCCCCUUACGCCCUGGGCUACACACGUACUACAAUGGCGCAAACAAAGGGAAGCAAUACCGCGAGGUGGAGCAAAACUCAUAAAAGGCGCCCCAGUUCGGACUGCAGGCUGCAACUCGCCUGCACGAAGUUGGAAUUGCUAGUAAUCGCGGAUCAGCAUGCCGCGGUGAAUACAGAGGCCGGGCUUUGCACACACCGCCCGUCA